UACGAAGGGGGCUAGCGUUGCUCGGAAUCACUGGGCGUAAAGGGUGCGUAGGCGGGUCUUUUAAGUCAGGGGUGAAAUCCUGGAGCUCAACUCCAGAACUGCCUUUGAUACUGAAGAUCUUGAGUUCGGGAGAGGUGAGUGGAACUGCGAGUGUAGAGGUGAAAUUCGUAGAUAUUCGGAAGAACACCAGUGGCGAAGGCGGCUCACUGGCCCGGUACUGACGCUGAGGUGCGAAAGCGUGGGGAGCAAACAGG
This 254-nucleotide ribosomal RNA is filed under the name uncultured bacterium. Its description in RNAcentral is "partial 16S ribosomal RNA". It matches the Rfam family "Bacterial small subunit ribosomal RNA", at positions 524 to 776 of the family's 1533-position model. The record is from RNAcentral.